AGGGAAAUGGCUUCAUUGACUGAAACAUAGUUCUUUGAUAUUAAUAACCUGCUAUAUUUUCAGCUAAUCCAAAAGUAAAUGAGAAACUUAGAGAAAGAUUGCCAAUCCCAAAUCAACACACUUACAGAGAAUUGGAAAAGAAGAAGAUUUACGGCUUCAUUUGAGGACUUUUGUAAAGAACUCGGGUUCCAAUAUGAGAUCCGCCCCGCUGCCACCCGAAAGUAGAGAUUCCACAGGAAAAGCAAAAUCCUCAUCUGGCCCGAACGUGGAAAGCCGCUCCAGCCACGUGACGAACCUGUGGGCCCGGCAGAGUGUGAGAACGAGAGCCUGAGGGUACUAAGUCCGAGGAGCCUCCCGCCUGUGGGGGCGGAGCGGGCCCCUCUCGAUGACAUCGAGGACUGUCGUGUUCCUGAAGGACCCAGGUGAGCACGGGCCCCUCCCCCUCCCCACAAAGGGUGGAACGGGGCG
RNAcentral lists this long non-coding RNA (468 nucleotides) under Ornithorhynchus anatinus (platypus). RNAcentral describes it as "lncRNA (ENSOANG00000040629.1)". Lineage: Eukaryota; Metazoa; Chordata; Mammalia; Monotremata; Ornithorhynchidae. The record is from RNAcentral.